This 236-nucleotide ribosomal RNA is filed under the name uncultured bacterium. RNAcentral describes it as "partial 16S ribosomal RNA". It matches the Rfam family "Bacterial small subunit ribosomal RNA", at positions 541 to 776 of the family's 1533-position model. The record is from RNAcentral.
UUGUCCGGAUUUAUUGGGCGUAAAGAGCGUGUAGGCGGCCUGACAGGUCUGCUGUGAAAACUCGAGGCUCAACCUCGAGACGUCGGUUGAAACCACCUGGCUAGAGUCCGGAAGAGGAGAGUGGAAUUCCCGGUGUAGCGGUGAAAUGCGCAGAUAUCGGGAAGAACACCCGUGGCGAAGGCGGCUCUCUGGGACGGUACUGACGCUGAGACGCGAAAGCGUGGGGAGCGAACAGG